AUUGAACGCUGGCGGCAUGCCUUACACAUGCAAGUCGAACGGCAGCGCGGGAGCAAUCCUGGCGGCGAGUGGCGAACGGGUGAGUAAUAUAUCGGAACAUACCCUAGAGUGGGGGAUAACGUAGCGAAAGUUACGCUAAUACCGCAUACGCACUAAGGUGGAAAGUGGGGGAUCGCAAGACCUCAUGCUCAUGGAGUGGCCGAUAUCUGAUUAGCUAGUUGGUAGGGUAAAAGCCUACCAAGGCGACGAUCAGUAGCUGGUUUGAGAGAA
RNAcentral lists this ribosomal RNA (270 nucleotides) under uncultured bacterium. RNAcentral's name for it is "partial 16S ribosomal RNA". It matches the Rfam family "Bacterial small subunit ribosomal RNA", at positions 30 to 300 of the family's 1533-position model. The record is from RNAcentral.